Molecule: transfer RNA, 85 nt
Filed under: Felis catus (domestic cat)
Lineage: Eukaryota; Metazoa; Chordata; Mammalia; Carnivora; Felidae
Also listed under: 2 other names
Rfam family: tRNA
About the family: Transfer RNA (tRNA) molecules are approximately 80 nucleotides in length. Their secondary structure includes four short double-helical elements and three loops (D, anti-codon, and T loops). Further hydrogen bonds mediate the characteristic L-shaped molecular structure. tRNAs have two regions of fundamental functional importance: the anti-codon, which is responsible for specific mRNA codon recognition, and the 3' end, to which the tRNAs corresponding amino acid is attached (by aminoacyl-tRNA synthetases). tRNAs cope with the degeneracy of the genetic code in two manners: having more than one tRNA (with a specific anti-codon) for a particular amino acid; and 'wobble' base-pairing, i.e. permitting non-standard base-pairing at the 3rd anti-codon position.
Source: Rfam by way of RNAcentral
GCCUGGGUGGCUUAGUGGGUUAAGCAUCUGACUUCGGCUCAGGUCAUGAUCUUGUGGUUCGUGAGUUCGAGCCCCACAUCAGGCU